This 301-nucleotide ribosomal RNA is filed under the name uncultured bacterium. RNAcentral's name for it is "partial 16S ribosomal RNA". It matches the Rfam family "Bacterial small subunit ribosomal RNA", at positions 509 to 807 of the family's 1533-position model. The record is from RNAcentral.
CAGUCGCCACGGGAAUACGUAGGUGGCAAGCGUUGUCCGGAAUUAUUGGGCGUAAAGGGCUCGCAGGCGGUUUCUUAAGUCUGAUGUGAAAGCCCCCGGCUCAACCGGGGAGGGUCAUUGGAAACUGGGAAACUUGAGUGCAGAAGAGGAGAGUGGAAUUCCACGUGUAGCGGUGAAAUGCGUAGAGAUGUGGAGGAACACCAGUGGCGAAGGCGACUCUCUGGUCUGUAACUGACGCUGAGGGGCGAAAGCGUGGGGAGCGAACAGGAUUAGAUACCCGUGUAGUCCCUGUCUCUUAUAC